CACGACUUUUGGAAACUAAUCUACCAUACAUGCGCAAGCGUCACUUCGAAGAACUGGGAACUAGGACUACAAAGUCAGUGCCAUCUAUUCGACAACCUCCCAAGUUGGAACUCAAACAAUUGUCACCACACUUUCGAUAUGCUUACUUGGGGGAGUCUUUUACACUCCCAAUUAUUAUUUCAAAUACUGUCAGUGAAUUGGAGGAAGAGAGACUACUUCGGGUGCUGAGGAAGAAUAAAACAGUCAUUGGAUGGUCAAUUGCAGAUAUCAAGGGGAUCAGUCCGUCGCUAUGCAUGCACAAAAUACUCAUGGAGGAAAAUUUCAAGCCAAACAUUAAUGGUCAACGAAGAUUGAAUCCAAACAUGAAGGAAGUGGUUCGGGCUGAGGUAUUAAAGUUGCUCGAUGCAGGCAUCAUCUACCCAAUAUCAAAUAGUGCAUGGAUCAGUCCAGUGCAGGUUGUUCCAAAGAAGGGAGGUAUCACAGUGAUGCAAAACAAGAAAAAUGAGUUGAUUCCUACAAGAACAGUGACUGGAUGGAGAGUUUGCAUCAAUGACCGCAAACUAAACGCUUCUACUCGAAAGGAUUAUUUUCCACUACCGUUCAUUGAUCAGAUGUUGGAGAGACUAGCAUGGCACUCACAUUACUGUUUUCUGGAUGGGUACUCCGGGUAUAAUCAGAUUCCAGUAGCACCUAACGACCAGCAGAAGACAACUUUCACAUGCCCCUACGGUACCUUUGCAUACUGUAGGAUGCCCUUUGGUUUGUGCAAUGCCCCUGCCACCUUUCAGUGCUGCAUGAUGGCCAUCUUUUCUGAUAUGAUUGAGAAAUUCAUCGAGGUAUUCAUGGACGACUUCUCAGUGUUUAGGUCUUGGUUUAAUGAGUGUUUGGAGCAUCUGAGUUUUGUGUUACAGCGGUGUACAGAGACUAACUUGGUAUUGAAUUGGGAAAAAUGUCACUUUAUGGUACACGAUGGCAUUGUGUUAGGACACAGAAUCUCAGCAAAGGGUAUUAAGGUGGACAGAGCAAAGAUUCAGGUGAUCGAGAAAUUACCGCCACCAACAUGAGUGAAAGGUGUUCGUAGCUUCCUUAGGCGUGCCGGGUUCUACGGAAGGUUCAUUAAGGAUUUCUCAAAAAUUACUAAACCACUUUGCUGUUUGUUGAUGAAGGAAUUCACAUUUGAGUUCACAGAUGAGUGUUUGAUGGCUUUUAAUACCUUGAAAGAGAUCAUCAUACCAGAUUGGAACCUGCCAUUUGAAUUAAUGUGCGACGCCUGUGAUUUUGCUGUUGGGGCCGUAUUGGGACAACAGAGAAAUAAGACAUUUCACGUAAUCUACUAUGCAAGUAAGACCUUGAACGACGCUUAAUUAAACUAUGCCACUACAGAGAAAGAGCUCAUUGCUGUACUCUAUGCCUUUAACAAAUUUCCAUCAUAUCUUGUGGGGUCAAAGGUCAUCGUUUACACAGAUCACGCUGCUAUCAAAUACUUAAUGGAAAACAAGGAUGCUAAGCCAUAUCUCAUUCGUUGGAUACUGCUGCUUCAAGAGUUUGAUCUGGAAAUCAGGGAUAAGAAGGGCGGUGAAAACGUGGUAGUAGACCACUUGUCUCGACUCGAGACCAUAGAGCAGACAGAGAUCGUGGAAAUUAAUGAAGUCUCCCCAGAUGAACAGAUUUUCGAUGUGGGGGAGGCACCCUGGUAUGCUGACAUAGUUAACUACUUAGCCAGGUCUAUCAUUCUGCCAGAUUACUCAAAUCACCCAAAGAAGACAUUUUUCACUGAGUUGAAGUAUUAUUUUUGGGAGAAUCCCAUUCUAUACAAGCGAAAAGCUGAUCAAAUCAUUCGUCGUUGCAUACCUGAGGAAGAAUUGUCCUUAAUACUAGAACAUUGUCAUUCAUCUAUAUACGCAGGGCAUUUUGGUGCUUCAAAAAUAGCAGUAAAGAUCCUUUAGUCAGGUUUUUACUGGCCUACGUAGUUUAAGGAUGCCUUUAAAUUCGUGAAAAGAUGUGACUGAUGUCAACACAGCGGUAAUAUAUCCAGGAGAAACGAAACGCCUUUGAACAGUAUCCCGGUGGUGGAACUAUUCGACGUCUGGGGGAUCGACUUUAUGGGGCCAUUUUCCCUAUCAUUCUCUAAUCAGUAUAUAUUGGUGGCUAUGGAUUACGUAUCAAAGUGGGUAGAAGCCGUUGCAUUGCCU
RNAcentral lists this long non-coding RNA (2192 nucleotides) under Olea europaea subsp. europaea. Lineage: Eukaryota; Viridiplantae; Streptophyta; Magnoliopsida; Lamiales; Oleaceae. The record is from RNAcentral.